This is a long non-coding RNA of Homo sapiens (human), 821 nucleotides long. Ensembl annotates it as long intergenic non-protein coding RNA 1579. The record is from Ensembl. NCBI's taxonomy places the organism in Eukaryota, Metazoa, Chordata, Mammalia, Primates, Hominidae.
CGGGGAAAUUUAUGGAAAGAUGUCCUCCUGCAACUGCUGAAAAUGCAACAUGCUGCCCAGGUCCUGCUCAGACCACUGACAACUCAGAAGUUAAUACUCAGAGUGGAAAGGUGAGUAAAGGCUGUUUAAUGACCACCCCAUGAAAAGAGUCAGAAUUACAUCCCUCUUGAUUCCUGUUUCUUUCUGAACAACAUAAAUGUAAUGUAAGCCAAGCUAAUACAUGCUGUUUUGUGGUAUAUAAUGGGUUUUCUGUAGCCAGAUGUGGCGCUGAUUAUUAUUUUUUUUCUGCAAACCUGUGUUACUUUCAGCGUAGCAAAGUGUAGUACAUGAGCAAGCGUUUCAAGCCAGACGGAGUUAAUCAUCUCUGUCACUGAAUUGGAGCUCACGGUCUGCUGGACAACUGUGCUGAGUGGAAAGGAAGCCUCGAUGGCUAAGUCACUUGUCCAACCUCAGACACUGGCAGAUCCAGGAUUCAAACAGCUAGACUCCAAAUGUGUUUCCUUUAACCUCUUUUCUACCUUUUCAACUUGAUUCCACACAUCACCACUGGGAAAGCUUAGGUGAGUAAGUCAUGUGGGCUUUGGUUUUUUCAUCUGCACGAUGGAUAGACUGAGACCUUCUUCCCUCAUGCCUCUGAGGAUGACAUAAAAAACCCACAAAAUCCCUAGUCCACUUACUUGCUCACAGAUAUUUACUGAGUGAGCAUCUGAUUUCCAUCCCAUUGUCACCUUCUCCCUAGCUGUCCAGACACCCUGCUUGCCUGGCCAAUGCCACCAAAGAAUGGAACCUGCUUUUGUUCCACACUCCGUAGCCAGAAAAAA